Molecule: ribosomal RNA, 497 nt
Filed under: uncultured bacterium
Lineage: Bacteria
Description: partial 16S ribosomal RNA
Rfam family: Bacterial small subunit ribosomal RNA
Source: RNAcentral
GAUGAACGCUGGCGGCGUGCCUAAUACAUGCAAGUCGAGCGAACAGAUGAGGAGCUUGCUCCUCUGACGUUAGCGGCGGACGGGUGAGUAACACGUGGAUAACCUACCUAUAAGACUGGGAUAACUUCGGGAAACCGGAGCUAAUACCGGAUAAUAUAUUGAACCGCAUGGUUCAAUAGUGAAAGACGGUUUUGCUGUCACUUAUAGAUGGAUCCGCGCCGCAUUAGCUAGUUGGUAAGGUAACGGCUUACCAAGGCAACGAUGCGUAGCCGACCUGAGAGGGUGAUCGGCCACACUGGAACUGACACACGGUCCAGACUCCUACGGGAGGCAGCAGUAGAGAAUCUUCCGCAAUGGGCGAAAGCCUGACGGAGCAACGCCGCGUGAGUGAUGAAGGUCUUCGGAUCGUAAAACACUGUUAUUAGGGAAGAACAAAUGUGUAAGUAACUAUGCACGUCUUGACGGUACCUAAUCAGAAAGCCACGGCUACCUACGUG